This 433-nucleotide ribosomal RNA is filed under the name uncultured bacterium. RNAcentral describes it as "partial 16S ribosomal RNA". It matches the Rfam family "Bacterial small subunit ribosomal RNA", at positions 29 to 507 of the family's 1533-position model. The record is from RNAcentral.
AACGAACGCUGGCGGCAUGCCUAACACAUGCAAGUCGAACGAGACCUCCGGGUCUAGUGGCGCACGGGUGCGUAACGCGUGGGAACCUGCCCUUAGGUUCGGAAUAACUCCCCGAAAGGGGUGCUAAUACCGGAUAAUGUCCUCGGACCAAAGAUUUAUCGCCUUUGGAUGGGCCCGCGUUGGAUUAGCUAGUUGGUAGGGUAAAAGCCUACCAAGGCGACGAUCCAUAGCUGGUCUGAGAGGAUGAUCAGCCACACUGGGACUGAGACACGGCCCAGACUCCUACGGGAGGCAGCAGUGGGGAAUAUUGGACAAUGGGCGAAAGCCUGAUCCAGCAAUGCCGCGUGAGUGAUGAAGGCCUUAGAGUUGUAAAGCUCUUUUACCCGGGAUGAUAAUGACAGUACCGGGAGAAUAAGCUCCGGCUAACUCCGUG